Pongo abelii (Sumatran orangutan) is the source of this 148-nucleotide unclassified non-coding RNA. It matches the Rfam family "Metazoan signal recognition particle RNA". From Rfam's summary of the family: The signal recognition particle (SRP) is a universally conserved ribonucleoprotein. NCBI's taxonomy places the organism in Eukaryota, Metazoa, Chordata, Mammalia, Primates, Hominidae. The record is from Ensembl.
GCUGGGUGUGGUGGCGCAUGCCUGUAAUCCCAGCUACUUGGGAGGCUGAGGAAGGAGAAUUGCUUCAACCCAGGAGGCAGAGAUUGCAGUGAGCUGAGAUCACGCCACUGCACUCCAGCCUGGGUGGCACAGCGAGACUCUCUCUCAA